Molecule: RNA transcript, 1421 nt
Organism: Brachypodium distachyon (stiff brome)
Lineage: Eukaryota; Viridiplantae; Streptophyta; Magnoliopsida; Poales; Poaceae
Gene name: DNA-directed RNA polymerases II, IV and V subunit 11
Exons: 8
Source: RefSeq, a predicted model, not a curated record
CCCUCUCGGCCUCUCCCCAUCUCCUUGCCGAGCCCCACAGCCCCCUCGCUCCGUGGAUCUUCUUCCUCCUCGCGCGAGCGCCGUCACUCAUCCCGCUGCCGAGCGCCCGAUCCCCCUUCGUCUUCCUCCUCGCUCGAGCGCCUCCACUGCAGUAAUUUGAGAGAGCGGAGCCAAGAUUUGAGCGGAGAUGAAUGCACCGGACCGCUACGAGCGCUUUGUCGUGCCUGAGGGCACAAAGAAGGUGUCAUUUGAGAAGGAUACGAAGAUUAUGAAUGCUGCAUCAUUCACUAUUGAACGCGAGGACCACACCAUCGGCAACAUCCUUCGCAUGCAGCUGCACAGGGACCCAAAUGUGCUCUUUGCUGGCUAUAAGCUUCCUCACCCCCUUCAGUACAAGAUCAUUGUUAGGAUCCAUACUGCAAGCCAGUCCUCCCCAACGCAGGCGUAUACACAGGGGAUCGAUGAUCUGGACAAGGAGCUUGAGAUCCUAAAACAAGCUUUUGAGGAUGAGAAGAACCGCUUCGAGGAAAGGAUGAAGCAGGGUUACUAGGGCAGUGGGUGUUUGCAGGUGCCUAUCAGCAUCCGCAGUCCGAGUCUCUACAUGAAUUUGACGGUGACAGGUCUUUUACGACGACGACUAGGAUCGUCGGACCUGCAGAAUGCAGAUGCCUGUUAGGCGACAGGGCAGGAAACGUUUGAACUUUGAAGCCGUCAGAUGCAUCUCCUCGACGUUCGAUCCAACCUCUCGGGUUUCCAGUUCAGACUGUCUUCAAUUGCACAUGCUACUAGAUGUUCUCCCAGCUGCCAAAAAAAAUGUUCUCCGGGUGUCGCCGAAGCACGACUUAAUCCUAUGUCAGGAGAAUGCUCCGGAUGAGCGCAGACGUUUGCAAUUCCUCCAAAAGUUGGUGUGCGGCGGAGCUCAAGAACGACCGCAUGUACAAUUUGCGAGAUCCCCAAAUCCGAACAUGAACAAAUUGUCAUUUGCAAGAUCCCCAAAUCUGAAGAUGACCAAAUCGAGCAUAUUUACCUCGUAGGCGCUCGAAAAACCAACGAAGGAAGCGGUGUGGCACGGCCGAAUCAGAGCUGCUGGCUCGGCAGUUCUCCGGGCGGAAGGGGUCUGAAUAACCAAGGGAUCCCCUCCUUGGGAUGCGGGCUAGCCACGGGGAAUGGUGGAAUACCAGACCGGCAACACGGAGACGAUGGCGGUGACGAAAAAUUGGAGGCGACAAGCGGCGGAAGCUCAUGUAAAAUGCGCGGGCUAAAAGGAAAACGAACACAGAAUCCCAAUAAAUAGCAACAGGGGAUCCGAAUUUUUUUAGGGAUUUCAUGGAUAUGCUGGAUAUGUACAGGACAUUUUUUUCCGACCAAACCGUAAAAUAUCGGUUAUUUUAAGAAUCGGUCCGAUAUACGGGAUCUAGAGA